Non-coding RNA from Izhakiella sp., 61 nucleotides. The record is from Rfam. NCBI's taxonomy places the organism in Bacteria, Pseudomonadati, Pseudomonadota, Gammaproteobacteria, Enterobacterales, Erwiniaceae.
CGUGUGGUGCCGGUGCAGGCCAGUGGUCUGGCACGGGAGAGCGACACGGCCUUACCGAGGU